This 499-nucleotide ribosomal RNA is filed under the name uncultured bacterium. RNAcentral's name for it is "partial 16S ribosomal RNA". It matches the Rfam family "Bacterial small subunit ribosomal RNA", at positions 30 to 523 of the family's 1533-position model. The record is from RNAcentral.
AUUGAACGCUGGCGGCAUGCUUUACACACGCAAGUCGAACGGUAACAGGGUGCUUGCACCGCUGACGAGUGGCGAACGGGUGAGUAACGCGUCGGAACGUGCCGAGUAGUGGGGGAUAACGCAGCGAAAGUUGUGCUAAUACCGCAUACGUACUGAGGUAGAAAGUGGGGGACCUUCGGGCCUCACGCUAUUCGAGCGGCCGACGUCUGAUUAGCUAGUAGGUGAGGUAAAGGCUCACCUAGGCGACGAUCAGUAGCGGGUCUGAGAGGAUGAUCCGCCACACGGGGACUGAGACACGGCCCAGACUCCUACGGGAGGCAGCAGUGGGGAAUUUUGGACAAUGGGCGAAAGCCUGAUCCAGCAUGCCGCGUGUCUGAAGAAGGCCUUCGGGUUGUAAAGGACUUUUGUCAGGGAGGAAAUCCCUAGUGCUAAUAACACUGGGGGAUGACAGUACCUGAAGAAUAAGCACCGGCUAACUACGUGCCAGCAGCCGCAGUAA